Molecule: RNA transcript, 4620 nt
Organism: Halichondria panicea
Lineage: Eukaryota; Metazoa; Porifera; Demospongiae; Suberitida; Halichondriidae
Exons: 8
Source: RefSeq, a predicted model, not a curated record
UAUUAUUCUUUAGACACCUAUUAUUCCGAGCAUAAUUUACAUUUAGGCCAAUCUGAUGAUCACUGAAUGAUGGUAACACAUGUAACACAGAAGUGGUUGGACACGAUCACGUGCACCACUUUUUUUGCUGAGCUGGCACAAAAAUUGCCAAUGAGCUAUGUAAACUUUGCACGGAAUCAUGGAUUAAUUUUAUGCCACAAUCAUAAUAAUUAUUAUGUUAUUCUCAUAUUAAUUCUAACAUUUUACGAAUUGUUUUGACCUCCGUCCUCUUAAAGCUACUCUAAUCAUUAGAGUUUUUCUCCUGCAAUGUUAUGGCUUCUUAUUAAUUUUGUUAACUUGAUGUAGUCUUCAACUAUAGCUUGACGUAUAUUAGUCUGACUUUGUCAUGUGUGUUAAAAUUAUAGCCUAUAAUAAUACAGGAUUGAACUCAACACAUAAUUGUGGCUUGCAGGAACUUAUACACGGCAUACUUACAAAAUUCAUGAAUAUGAAUUGCUGUAUUAAGAGUUCUGUAUACGUGUAGUUUGCGGCUACUAGAGUCCAACUCGGUAGUUCUUGCCGGAAUUAUUGUCCCACCAACUCUUUCUAUCUUCAGACUCCAAACACAAGGCAAAGUCAGUGCAGCCAGGGUUAAAGUACGGUAGGUCAAACGCAUAUCUAUUGGUUUGUUCUCCUUUGUAAUUAGUCCUGAUCAAGGUGGCUGAAACGUCUGCGCAUGAUUUCCAUUCAUCAAGUGUGUAAUGAACAAACAACUUUUUUGCUGGUACAGAGUCAGACACCCGUACGAAUCCCGUGAACUCAUUUCCACACCCAUACAAGCAGUAUUCUAGAGAUAUCUUUUUUCUGUGAACACGGGAUGCAAAGCAACCUUCACAAAAGAGUGGCUGAUCAAACUGGAAGAUAGUAGGACUUGAGAGUUUGGUAUCAAUAGCAAUGUACAGAGGUUCUUGUUUGGUAACAGUACCCCCUUGGAAUCUGUCAAUAUGAUCUGCCAGGCCCUACAUAAAUGAGAUACACACUACUCAAUACUUUUUCUAUACCAUCUUUUGUAACUUACUGGUUCAUUCUGAAUGCAUAACAUGUCUGAAACAGAGAGUUUCAAUGGUUCGUCUUGCUCAGUGUCGCAAGGCAAGGAAGCAUCGACAAUCUCACAAUGAUCAGGCAACGGCCUACUGGUAACCUCUUGAUUCUCUAUAAACUUCUCGAGUUUUUCCAAGAGCUCAGCAGAAGGUAUUCUAAAGAUCACAACAGGUUCACUUGCUACACUCAGCAUAACAAUGCCUUCAUUGUUCUGAGAUUCCACAGGGAAAAUUGCAAUAAACAGUUCAAAGCAAUAACAUCCAGGUCUCACCUGUAGAUAUUCUUGAUCUACCGUAUUUGUGUGAGUGGAGGCAUCAGGAGACCAGGUCUCACCAUCAGCUGGCCCGAUACUGGUCCUUGCUGAGGUAAAAUGGCUGGUGGUAGCUAUUAUAAUAGUGGUGGGAGUGGUAUCAGCUGGUCCGAUACUGGUCCCUGCUGAGGUGGAGUGACUGGUGGUAGCAACUGCAGUGGUGGUCUCACUAUCAACUGGCCCGAUACUGGUCCCUGUUGAGGUAGUGGCAGCAACCACAGUGAUGGGAGUGGAGGUCUCACUAUCAACUGGCCCGAUACUGGUUCCUGUUGAGGUAGAGUAAUUGGUGGCAGCAACCACAGUGAUAGGAGUAGCUCGAUUUUUUGCAGACCUUGACAUUACUUUUUGCUUGAGCUUUUCCUACAAUUUCACAAGGAUGUGAAAAUGUUACAGCUAAACACUAAUCUCCCGACACUGUAUACAGUAAUGGCUAGUAUAUCUACUUAUAAUGGUGUCAAUGAAUUACCUUCAUUUUAGGAUUUGUAUCAGUUUGAUUGUCAUCAAUGGGGAUGACUGGAGUUGAGCAACCUCUACAGAAGAUGAUCUUGGUAACAGUCUUGAUGACCUUCUUAAACCUUCUACGUAUUCUCUUCCCCAUCUUCUUCAAUACUUGCAUGAAUAAAUGAAAUUCUCUGCACGCUAGAUCGCUAUUGGAGACCGCACAGGCAAACGCUAGAGCGCGAUGGAUCCAAGUCGCACGUGAUGCGUAUCGCGAUCUCUGAUGAUGAGCAUGUAGUUGGGCGGAGCUAGAUAUAGGCUUCGCCCAAGUAUAAUCAUAGGAAAGGGAUUGGAAACGCAUCACGUGCACCAUUGUUUUCAACAGAGUCUGGAUGGCACAGUCCUACCAUAGAUGUAGGAGAGAGGGAUUGGAAACGGAAGUAGAUGUCAAUGUACUUCACAUAUGACCUCGAUAAACAUCCGCGCCUCGCUUAAUGAGGGCUAAUCUAUUCCCCAGGAACUUCGCGGGUAACUGAGAUUAUUGCACAUCUAGGAUUUUAUGAGUUGUCACUAGUAUUCUGUCAAGUUUUCCAGUAUCCAGUGCAACUGUGCUUUAUAUAGAUAGUGAAUAACCAUUAUUCAAGCUCUAUUUACUGUUGCAACUAUCUUCUUCAUUGAAUUUAGCAAUACCUCGCAAGCCAAAACUUACUGAGUACGCUGAAGAAAAGAAGACAGAAGAAUACCCCUCCUCUCUACACCCCUACACGUCACCGCCCUCGUAAAUGUUAUCGGCUGUUCCGGCUAUAUAUACACCCUUGUAUACCUCACCAGCUUCUCUCCAUCUAAGACUGUCUGAUUAGAGUGCUAAACUAAUCAUAAUUAUAGCUGUAUAAUAAUCAUUUUUAUCGUGUAAGUUUUUGUUAAUGUUGUUCGGUUUGAUCCCACUCGUUUUACACUUAGAAAGCAACUGGCAGUGCUGUGGAGUGUUUUUGCUGUCUCCAAGUGUAUGUAAUUAUACUUAAUGAAUUGGAAAUUGAAAUGUACGCUCACCAGCCUAGUAUAUAUAUAUAAUUAUAGUACAAUUGAUUCAUCAAAAGUGAAAACAAUAAAUUAUUAUUAAGAAAGUUACAUGGUGUAUUAUGUAUCUUGUCGUAUGAAUGAUCAUGGUUAUUGCCUCAAACUAGUGGACUUCUUGAUGGUUUUCUUUUUCAUUUAAUUAAGUUGGCAGCAAAAGAGAAGCCUCUGACAGUCACAAAUACAUUCACAAUUUCAGGGAACUAAGCAUCCUCUGAUGAUUUUAUAUCUACUGUGAAACAAGUAUCCAAUACCACUAGCUCUGUACAUUCUCCUUACUAUUACCAUGUACCACCAAUGCACUGUUGUGUUGAUUGUGUCUCUUUCCCUCUUCUUUCACCGCUUAUGCAAUGAGUUUUCCUCAUUUUGAGGCAAGAAAAGAAGACAAGAAAGCGAGGCGCGGAUGUUUUCCGAGGCCCACUUCCGUUUCCAAUCCCUCUCUCUACACCUAUGGUCCUACUUACGAUUUUUAAUGUUAUUCAUUGCUAGUCAAAAGAUCAUUUGCUGUUUUUAAAGCUAUAUUUUUGGACCUCAAGAUCAUUCUUUCAGCCUUCAAGCCAAUCAAGAUGUGAAGCAAAAAGCUCGUAAGAAAAAAUUCAAGCCAUCCUCGACCUCAACCAGAUCCUACCCUCUCUCGACGAUAUAAAUUCAACCAUAAGACACUUAGUAACCUCACCUGUCACCUCAUCAUUAAGUAUACAUAUAUACAUGUUUAUUUUUGCUUGUGUGUAUACACUGUAGUUUUGCAACCACUUACUUUAAACAUUAUAUAAUAUAAUUUAUUGACAUCCAUUAGAGUACAGUAUUACACUUAUGAUUAGUGUCAAGACUCACAAAGGGAGUUUAGUAAGAUAAUAAAUACAUUGUUGUCGUGUUUAUAAUUAUGUAACUAAAAUAGAUCUAGCUUUUUUUUACUGAUAUGGAUGCCAUCAUGAAGCCCUUAUCCUUUAACUACACUGUCCACAGUAUGAGCUUAGACAUGCUUAGGGCUCCAGCUUGAGAUACCACAAUUAUACCAUGUGGCUUCGAUUUACGCCGCAAUGGAGGGCCUGUAAUCGAGGCUACAAUCCGUAAGUAGGAUUGUACCGUAUGACGUAAUGCGUUUCCAAUCCCUUUCCUUUGUACUUACUUAACUUAGCCAGUGCAGUUCAGAUGGAGGUGCAAGCCAAGGAACCUUUAGACACUCCUUUAGACACUAAACAAGACUACAGAUUGCCAAGAGCAAUGGACAUGCAGAUGUUGGAGCGCAGAAUAGCUCCAGAUGGUCAUCGUAACAGAACUGAUCAUGAAACGGACAAAAGAAAGGCAAUGUUAGAAGCCAAAAACACAAAGUUAGAAGCCAAAAACGGUUGCUGUGAUCUCAGUCGUGAUGACACUAUUGAUGGAGCUAAAAAGAAAUCUGCUCAACGAACUCGCAUGAAACAAGGUAACAAAAAAUCCAGUCACCACGGCAAUGGCAUAAUGAGCACAGAUGGGAGUAACGAAGCGACGAAUGCAGCACCCCCACCAAUUAACACAACUGCUUCUUUGGACUCUGUGAACAGUUAAAAAAGGCUCGUUAGAAAUUAUCCACAUAGAUACAAGAUAUAAUUAUAAUUUUUACGCACUUGUUACAGUACUGUAUACGUGUUGUAUGUAUUUGUGUUUAUCAAAUCAUUCAUUUUUAGCUUUCAUAAACAAUCAUUGAGUAUAAUUUUAUGUGAUCAUUGAUUGAUAAC